GUGAGCCCUGCCGUCGGCGACGUGG
This 25-nucleotide non-coding RNA is filed under the name Cricetulus griseus (Chinese hamster). Lineage: Eukaryota; Metazoa; Chordata; Mammalia; Rodentia; Cricetidae. The record is from RNAcentral.